GUACAAACAAGAUUUUUAGAACUUGAUUCAGUUGCUUAUGCUUUGGCAUCAAGUACCAUUUGAGACACCCUGGGGUAUCCUGCGUGGUCUCCGCGUCUCCAGCUGCUGCUUCCAUAGGUCCUAUGUGAUAUCUGCCAACCCCAUGUGUAUCUUGGGUGCCUUAGGGCAUCUCAGAUGGCACCAGUUGCCUGCAUUCAGGCAUCUAAAUGGAGCCCUUUGUUUUCUGGGGCUUGGAUAGCCGAUGUCUGACUAUUUUUCUGUGAGCUUGCAUAAAAUGCUAGCACUGAGAUUGGUGCAUGCCUCAAUUUUCAAAAUAAAUUGCUCAAAUCCCCAGUAAGUACAUAAGGUGGGAUACAUGACAUGGUGCGUGUGUGAAAGAAAGGAUUGUCUCCAGGGUGAUGGGCUGAUGCUGAACUGGGCAGUUAGUUCCUUGAGGCAAAUAAUUUAGAGCAAAACCCCAGCCUUAUAUAUGUCCUCUGGCAGGAGUCGGUUGCUGUAACUCACGAGGUUUCCGAUGAAUAUCUGAAGAAAACACGGGCAGGACCUGGUUCAAGUUCAGCAAAGCCAUGAGCAACAGCGGUGAGUUAAUGGGAGAUGAGGGAGCUGCGGUCCCCUCGCUUCCCGCCGGAGCAGGUGUGUGGGAUUCAUCUCAGGAUUAAGCCACCUAAAUUUAAGUGUUGAGACAUAGGUGUGUAUGGCCGAGCAGAGCAGUUGAGCUAGCCAGUAAGUGCCUUUAGGGUUUUCUGAUUAAUUCUGUAGACCGAGCUGACUCUGCUGACUGCCUCGGUUAAGUUGUCUAUGCGUGGUGCCAUAUGAGAUGCUGUAUGGUAUCCUGCCUGCCCUUCAGCUGCUAGUCUAGAAGGGUUCGGAUCUCCCAUCGGUCCUCAGUCAUACCUGCCAGCUCAGGUGUAUCUUUCAUGCCCUAGAUGCUUGUGUGGGCAACGGGAUCUAAUUCUCCAGUGGCCGUGGCUGUCAUGGGAUCACAGCCCAAAUGUGGGCGUUAGAUGCUGAACUUCAGAUGAAAUUGCCCAUUCCAUGCUUUUGACAGAAGGGAAAGAGAACAGAGAAGCAGCACACGAAGUGUGAGGUAAAUGCUGGGGCCACGCACUAACUGGUGCAAGAAGCUGGGAGAAGAUGGUCUGUUCCUCAGUCCAACUGCUACAAGCAGCAAUGGCUUAACCCGUACUUAACACAUAUCAUCAGAAAAUAAUACUGAGCUGAGGACUCUCAUGACACGUUUAUGAUUUUCAGCUCCAGGUGGAAGUUGUUGAAGAAAUAUCAAUGAAAAGAGCUUGUUAGCAUCAAUAGAGGUUUUAUGAAGGUGGCACUGUUUUGGGCACCGAGGAUUAAAUCAAAACAUCUGGCUGGGCUGGUGUUCUGAGGAGCUGCUGCAAGUGUGGGUAUUUUUCAGGGCGAAAAGAAAUGAUAGAGAACAUGGCAAAGUAUUGCAUGUAUGUGUCACUGUGAUUACCGUGGUAGCUUUGUCACCCUGGGCUGAAC
This is a long non-coding RNA of Harpia harpyja (harpy eagle), 1500 nucleotides long. RefSeq lists it as uncharacterized. Lineage: Eukaryota; Metazoa; Chordata; Aves; Accipitriformes; Accipitridae. The record is from RefSeq and is a predicted model, not a curated record. The transcript is spliced from 3 exons.